This 484-nucleotide ribosomal RNA is filed under the name uncultured bacterium. Its description in RNAcentral is "partial 16S ribosomal RNA". It matches the Rfam family "Bacterial small subunit ribosomal RNA", at positions 30 to 507 of the family's 1533-position model. The record is from RNAcentral.
AUUGAACGCUAGCGGGUUGCCUUACACAUGCAAGUCGAACGGCAGCACGGACUUCGGUCUGGUGGCGAGUGGCGAACGGGUGAGUAAUGUAUCGGAACGUGCCCAGUAGCGGGGGAUAACUACGCGAAAGCGUAGCUAAUACCGCAUACGCCCUACGGGGGAAAGCAGGGGAUCGCAAGACCUUGCACUAUUGGAGCGGCCGAUAUCGGAUUAGCUAGUUGGUGGGGUAACGGCUCACCAAGGCGACGAUCCGUAGCUGGUUUGAGAGGACGACCAGCCACACUGGGACUGAGACACGGCCCAGACUCCUACGGGAGGCAGCAGUGGGGAAUUUUGGACAAUGGGGGAAACCCUGAUCCAGCCAUCCCGCGUGUGCGAUGAAGGCCUUCGGGUUGUAAAGCACUUUUGGCAGGAAAGAAACGUCGCGGGUUAAUACCUCGCGAAACUGACGGUACCUGCAGAAUAAGCACCGGCUAACUACGUG